Molecule: non-coding RNA, 291 nt
Organism: Vicia faba (fava bean)
Lineage: Eukaryota; Viridiplantae; Streptophyta; Magnoliopsida; Fabales; Fabaceae
Source: the annotation of a GenBank genome assembly
AUGAUGGUGGAUAUCUCAGAGCGAAGGAGUAGAGAUUCGCGAGGGUUUGAUUAUGAAGGGAAAGGAGAGAGGUCAGAAAAUAAGGGUGAAGGUCGAGGAUGGAAGAAAAAGAGAUCAGAAAGAGAUGUCUUAGAUAAUUUUCUGGGCUAUAAGCUAGUGCAAGGACUUAUUUGGAUAUGGUGUCAAUUUUGUUUGCGGAUGCAGGGCUGUUUGAAUUGGUUAAGCAGGUUGCGGGAGCAUAGUACCAUGGCCUCGAUGAAAGAAAACGGAAGCGAUGAGAAGGAAUCUUGA